Osmia bicornis bicornis is the source of this 825-nucleotide long non-coding RNA. RefSeq lists it as uncharacterized. The transcript is spliced from 6 exons. NCBI's taxonomy places the organism in Eukaryota, Metazoa, Arthropoda, Insecta, Hymenoptera, Megachilidae. The record is from RefSeq and is a predicted model, not a curated record.
UAGAGUCAGUGUUUGCUGCGUAUUAUAAAAUAUUUUCUAGAGCAUCGCGGCUCUGAUUUUUCUUUUUCCAUCGCGAAAGUAGAGUCGCUAUAAUUGUUCGCCGGAAAUUAUUCACGGUCGCGUUACUUUAUAUCUUUAUUUUUAUUUUUAAUUUUUUUUUUAUUGCUCGAUAUAUUCGGUAUUAGAGUCACGGCACCACUGAAGAGGAGUCUUGGGCGUUGCUCCAUAAGGAAAGAGUAUGAAUUUUUGAACUUUGGCGAGUUCCUGAUGGCUUCCGUCUUCUCCUGUAAGGCAACCUCCUACCUGGUGUGCAUCCUCCUACCUAGUUGUUGAGCAUCCUUCUACUUGACUGUCGGAAGAAGAGUAUAUCUGCGAACGGAACUAUGCCAUUGAGAUUGUGAAGUGUACCACAUUGCAAGUACAAUUUUACGGAAAGAAAAUUAUUAUUAAUGAAUGCUUGGCUAGUAUCGUUUAAUUAUUUUCCUGUAUGGAAGGCAACUCGCCUUAGGCGUGCAAGCACACGCAAGCUUUUCUGCAACUGCAGCAGUUCACCACAAUAUCCAAUCGAGGCAGACCCAGGCCAAGGUAUAAAAGGGCCUUUGGCGAACUGCCAAUAGGGCCGACAGAAAACGACAGGCUCGUUAACGAAUAACCGGCGACAAUUAAGAUGCAGUCGAUUCUCCACAUCCAUGCUUGAAAAACGACCGCUUUCUUCAGCAUCCACCUACACAGGUAUUACACGAGUGUCACGCGUUGAGGCUAACUUAUGUGAUACUUGACACACUGGUAGCAGGCGAUAACGAGCCACCUGGAACGAGACUAACG